Non-coding RNA from Ailuropoda melanoleuca (giant panda), 453 nucleotides. Lineage: Eukaryota; Metazoa; Chordata; Mammalia; Carnivora; Ursidae. The record is from the annotation of a RefSeq genome assembly.
GACCCUGGUGCUCACACAGGCUCCUCUCUUGCAGCCUCCACCACGGCCCCAUCGGUUUUCCCACUGGCCCCCAGCUGCGGGGUCACGUCCGGCUCCACAGUGGCCCUGUCCUGCCUGGUGUCCGGCUACUUCCCCGAGCCAGUGACCGUGUCCUGGAACUCCGGCUCCGUGACCACCUUCCCGUCCGUCCUGCAGUCCUCAGGGCUCUAUUCUCUCAGCAGCAUGGUAACAGUGCCUUCCAGCCGGUGGCCCAGUGACACCUUCACCUGCACCGUGGCCCAUCCGGCCAGUAACACCAAGGUGGAAAAGACAGUGCCCAAAACCAUAGGUGGUGGUCAGGGUGGCAGUACAACAUGCAAGGAAUGUCCCAAAUGUCCAGCCCCUGAAAUGCUGGGAGGGCCUUCGGUCUUCAUCUUCCCCCCGAAAGCCAAGGACACCCUCUCCAUUACCCGA